CUACCCUGUGGAUCCGGGCUUUU
RNAcentral lists this microRNA (23 nucleotides) under Triops cancriformis. RNAcentral's name for it is "tcf-miR-993-5p". Its record names the gene tcf-miR-993-5p. The record is from miRBase by way of RNAcentral. Lineage: Eukaryota; Metazoa; Arthropoda; Branchiopoda; Notostraca; Triopsidae.